This 200-nucleotide ribosomal RNA is filed under the name uncultured eukaryote. Its description in RNAcentral is "partial 18S ribosomal RNA". It matches the Rfam family "Eukaryotic small subunit ribosomal RNA", at positions 588 to 783 of the family's 1831-position model. The record is from RNAcentral.
GCUCCAAUAGCGUAUAUUAAAGUUGCUGCAGUUAAAAAGCUCGUAGUUGGAUUUCUGGCUUGAAACAUUUUGCCGGCCACGGUUUCGUGUGUUAGUGCUUGAUGUUCUGGCCAUCCUUCCAAUCGCCAUUGGCUUGUCUUCAUUGAUUGGUCAGUGGUAUUGGAUCUUUUACUUUGAAAAAAUUAGAGUGUUUCAAGCAG